RNAcentral lists this ribosomal RNA (612 nucleotides) under uncultured fungus. RNAcentral's name for it is "eukaryotic LSU rRNA". The stretch from base 83 to 236 matches the Rfam family "5.8S ribosomal RNA". The record is from RNAcentral. Lineage: Eukaryota; Fungi.
CCCUCGUCUAUGAAUAUUUUUACAAACGCUCAAAGUAUGACAGAAUGUAUAUCAUAUUGCGUCUGAUAAACGUGACAAAUACAACUUUCAACAACGGAUCUCUUGGCUCUCGCAUCGAUGAAGAACGCAGCGAAAUGCGAUAAGUAAUGUGAAUUGCAGAAUUCAGUGAAUCAUCGAAUCUUUGAACGCACCUUGCGCUCCUUGGUAUUCCGAGGAGCAUGCCUGUUUGAGUGUCAUGAAAUUCUCAACUGCCCCAGGCUUUGUGGCCUGCGGGUGAAGUUGGACUUGGAGGUAUGCUGGCGCAUGAAUGGGCUUUUGUGCCCCGUCUCGCUUGUUGGCUCCUCUCGAAUGCAUGAGCUUUCCAAUCCUUGGCAAAGUAUCGUCGAUGUGAUAAUUGUCUACGUCGCCUGAGAAAGCCGAAAAGGGGAAAUCUUUGAUCACGCUGGGGUGACCUGCGUCUGACAAAUUCGACCUCAAAUCAGGUAGGACUACCCGCUGAACUUAAGCAUAUCAAUAAGCGGAGGAAAAGAAACUAACAAGGAUUCCCCUAGUAACUGCGAGUGAAGCGGGAAAAGCUCAAAUUUAAAAUCUGGCGGCCUCCGGUCGUCCGAU